This 1323-nucleotide ribosomal RNA is filed under the name uncultured bacterium. Its description in RNAcentral is "bacterial SSU rRNA". It matches the Rfam family "Bacterial small subunit ribosomal RNA", at positions 27 to 1381 of the family's 1533-position model. The record is from RNAcentral.
GGAUGAACGCUAGCGGUGUGCUUAAAGCAUGCAAGUCGAACGUGAUCCUUGGAUUCGUUCAAGGUGAAAGUGGCGAACGGGUGAGUAACACGUUGGUGAUCUGCCCCGGAGUGGGGGAUAACUAUCGGAAACGAUAGCUAAUACCCCAGAUGUUAUCGUGUUUGGAAAGCGAUAACUAAAGUUCAGGCGCUCCGGGAGGAGCCUGCGUCCCAUCAGCUAGUUGGUAGGGUAAUGGCCUACCAAGGCAAAGACGGGUAGGGGGCGUGAGAGCGUGGCCCCCCACACUGGUACUGACACACGGACCAGAUGCCUACGGGUAGCAGCAGCUAGGAAUAUUGAGCAAUGGGCGAAAGCCUGACCCAGCAACACCGCGUGAAGGACGAAGGCCUUCGGGUUGUAAACUUCUUUUCGAGGGAAAGAGAAAGGACGGUACCCUCGGAAUAAGGCCCGGCUAACUACGUGCCAGCAGCCGCGGUAAUACGUAGGGGCCAAGCGUUAUCCGGAUUUACUGGGCGUAAAGCGCAUGUAGGCGGUCGAUCAAGUCGGAUGUGAAAGCUCCUGGCUUAACUGGGAGAGGUCAUUCGAAACUAGUCGGCUGGAGGGUGGUAGAGGAGAGCGGAAUUCCAGGUGUAGCGGUGAAAUGCGUAGAUAUCUGGAGGAACACCAGUGGCGAAAGCGGCUCUCUGGACCAUUCCUGACGCUGAGAUGCGAAAGCCAGGGGAGAGAACGGGAUUAGAAACCCCGGUAUUCCUGGCCGUAAACGAUGUCAACUAGGCGUAGGAGGUUAUAAACCCCUUCUGUGCUGUAGCAAACGCGUUAAGUUGACCGCCUGGGGACUACGGCCGCAAGGCUAAAACUCAAAGGAAUAGACGGGGACCCGCACAAGCGGUGGAGCAUGUGGUUUAAUUCGACGAUAAGCGAGGAACCUCACCAAGGUUUGACAUCUAGCUGCAGACUCCUGGAAACAGGAGAGCCUUCGAGGGUGCUAGACAGAUGCUGCAUGGUUGUCGUCAGCUCGUGUCGUGAGAUGUACCGUUAAGUCGGAAAACGAGCGCAACCCUUAUUCUAUGUUUCAUGUGUCAUAGAAAACUGCCUGCGUUAAGCAGGAGGAAGGUGGGGAUGACGUCAAAUCAGCAUGGUUCUUACACCUUGGGCGACACACGUGCUACAAUGGGUAAUACAAAGGGACGCCAAACCGUAAGGUGGAGCAAAUCCCCCAAAAUUACUCUCAGUUCGGAUUGAGGUCUGCAACUCGACCUCAUGAAGCCGGAAUCGCUAGUAAACGCGUAUCAGCCACGGCGCGUUGAAUACGUUCUCGGGUCU